This 440-nucleotide ribosomal RNA is filed under the name uncultured bacterium. Its description in RNAcentral is "partial 16S ribosomal RNA". It matches the Rfam family "Bacterial small subunit ribosomal RNA", at positions 338 to 795 of the family's 1533-position model. The record is from RNAcentral.
CCUACGGGAGGCUGCAGUGGGGGAUAUUGCACAAUGGGGGAAACCCUGAUGCAGCGACGCCGCGUGGGUGAAGAAGCGCCUCGGCGCGUAAAGCCCUGUCAGCAGGGAAGAAAAUGACGGUACCUGAAGAAGAAGCCCCGGCUAACUACGUGCCAGCAGCCGCGGUAAUACGUAGGGGGCAAGCGUUAUCCGGAUUUACUGGGUGUAAAGGGGGCGCAGACGGCGAUGCAAGCCAGAUGUGAAAGCCCGGGGCCCAACCCCGGGACUGCUGUUGGAACUGGGUGGCUAGAGUGCAGGAGGGGCAGGCGGAAUUCCUGGUGUAGCGGUGAAAUGCGUAGAGAUCAGGAGGAACACCGGUGGCGAAGGCGGCCUGCUGGACUGCAACUGACGUUGAGGCCCGAAAGCGUGGGGAGCAAACAGGAUUAGAUACCCCAGUAGUC